AAUAUUGGACAAUGGGGGCAACCCUGAUCCAGCCAUGCCGCGUGUGUGAAGAAGGUCUUCGGAUUGUAAAGCACUUUAAGUUGGGAGGAAGGGCUUUAGGUUAAUACCCUGAAGUUUUGACGUUACCAACAGAAUAAGCACCGGCUCACUUCGUGCCAGCAGCCGCGGUAAAACGAAGGGUGCCAGCGUUAAUCGGAAUUACUGGGCGUAAAUGGCGAGUAGGGUGUUCAGUAAGAUUGGUGUGUAAUCCCCGAGCUUAACCUGGGAACUGGUUUCAUAACUGCUGAGCUAGAGUACGGUAGAGGGUAGUGGAAUUUCCUGUGUAGCGGUGAAAUGUGUAGAUAUAGGGAGGGCCACCAGUGGCGAAAGCGACUACCUGGGCUGAUACUGGCACUGAGGUGCGAAAGCGUGGGGAGCGAAC
This 421-nucleotide ribosomal RNA is filed under the name uncultured bacterium. RNAcentral describes it as "partial 16S ribosomal RNA". It matches the Rfam family "Bacterial small subunit ribosomal RNA", at positions 360 to 773 of the family's 1533-position model. The record is from RNAcentral.